Molecule: ribosomal RNA, 857 nt
Filed under: uncultured bacterium
Lineage: Bacteria
Description: SSU rRNA
Rfam family: Bacterial small subunit ribosomal RNA
Source: RNAcentral
UACAGAGGUGGCGAGCGUUGUUCGGAUUUACUGGGCGUAAAGGGCGCGUAGGCGGCGCGGCGUGUCGGGUGUGAAAUCCAUGGGCCCAACCCAUGAAGUGCGCCCGAAACUGCCGCGCUGGAGUGCGGGAGGGGAGGUCGGAAUGCAGGGUGUAGCGGUGAAAUGCGUUGAUAUCCUGCAGAACACCGGUGGCGAAGGCGGACCUCUGGAACGCUACUGACGCUGAGGCGCGAAAGUCGGGGGAGCAAACAGGAUUAGAUACCCUGGUAGUCCCGACCCUAAACGGUGUGCACUUGGGGUGGGGGGAUUUCACCCCCCCCGUCCCGGAGCUAACGCGUUAAGUGCACCGCCUGGGGAGUACGGCCGCAAGGUUAAAACUCAAAGAAAUUGACGGGGGCCCGCACAAGCAGAGGAGCAUGUGGCUUAAUUCGAUGCAACGCGAAGAACCUUACCCGGGUUUGACAUGCAGCUGCACGGCCUAUGAAAGUAGGCCUCCUUCGAGGGUGCUGCACAGGUGCUGCAUGGCUGUCGUCAGUUCGUGCCGUGAGGUGUUUGGUUAAGUCCAGCAACGAACGCAACCCCUGUGUCCAGUUGCCAACAGGUAACGCUGGGAACUCUGGACAGACUGCCCGUUCACACGGGAGGAAGGUGGGGACGACGUCAAGUCAGUAUGGCCCUUACAUCCGGGGCUGCACACGUGCUACAAUGGCCGGUACAAAGGGAAGCGAUGCCGCGAGGCGGAGCCAAUCCCCAAAACCGGCCCCAGUUCGGAUCGGGGUCUGCAACCCGACCCCGUGAAGUCGGAUUUGCUAGUAACGGCGCAUCAGCUACGGCGCCGUGAAUACGUUCCCGGGCCU